Molecule: ribosomal RNA, 379 nt
Filed under: uncultured eukaryote
Lineage: Eukaryota
Description: partial 18S ribosomal RNA
Rfam family: Eukaryotic small subunit ribosomal RNA
Source: RNAcentral
CAAUAGCGUAUAUUAAAGUUGUUGCGGUUAAAAAGCUCGUAGUUGGAGUUCUGCCAGGUGCCGCCUGUCCGCCCCAGUGGUGAGUACGUGGCGCGCAUUUGGCCCUUUCAAGGGGAGCGUAUCUGCACUUUAUUGUGUGGUGCGGGAUCCUUGACUUUUACUUUGAGGAAAUAGGAGUGUUCCAAGCAGGCUCUCGUCGUGCACAGCUCAGCAUGGAAUAAUAGCAUUGGACCUCGAUUCUAAGCUGUUGGUUGCCAGAAGCGAGGUAAUGAUGAAGAGGGAUAGUUGGGGGCAUUCGUAUUUAACUGUCAGAGGUGAAAUUCUUGGAUUUGUUAAGACGGACUACUGCGAAAGCAUCUGCCAUGGAUGUUUUCAUUGA